RNAcentral lists this long non-coding RNA (664 nucleotides) under Calidris pugnax (ruff). RNAcentral's name for it is "lncRNA (ENSCPUG00000007948.1)". Lineage: Eukaryota; Metazoa; Chordata; Aves; Charadriiformes; Scolopacidae. The record is from RNAcentral.
UGAUCAGAACAAAACUUUAUUGAUUUUAAUAACUUUUUAAACCAUAGACAUUUAAAGGAGAAUUUUUGGGGGGAAUUUUAUGGUGCUCAUGGCUCUUUUAGGAUGGAAGACAAACACUCAGCUCCUGGACUUUCCUGUGUAACAAGAUACCCAGUAUUUGUGCAUCUGUGGAGUGAUUGCUUUCCUUCUCUGGUGCUCCGUCGGCAGCAGUCCAAACCCAAUCUGUAUGACAUAUAGAGCCCAUUUCAGCCUUACAAGACCGCAACCAUCACCGAGUGGAAUAUAUCAGUAACCACGCCAGAGCCGACCUUUGCAACCUAAGACAUUGGUGAUUUGUGGAGGCUUGUUAAAGUUGAUGUUUCCUGAAUAUAUGGCCUACAUUGCACCAGGGCUGCCUGUCUUGGAAGAGGGGUUUUCUGGAUUUGAAGAAAACUGCCCAGGUAUCAGUGGGCUGCAUGAAUUUGAGUUUCCCACCCAGCUCAGAGCACUCUUCCUCUGUCUGGGUGUCAAGGAGCUUGGAGAGCACAGCAGGGCUUUGCUGUGUCCCGUCCACAGCCUUCAAGAAACCAGAAGAGAAAAACCUUGUGUCUGCAAGAUGGAGGAGUUGAAAAUGACAGUUGCUUCUUCCAGAACCUGCAAACAUGAAGCCCCAAAUUUAAGCUAA